GCUCCGAGGAAGCUCGAGCGAGAGAUCCACGCAAGGAGCUGGGGCAGGAAGUGAUUAACAGCGGGGAGAAAGGAGAAGUUUAAAUAGCAACAUAAAAACCUGAAGAUUUUAUUGCUUUAUAUAAAUUGCCCAGCAGGGACUCAUUUUGAGAAAGAAGACAAUUUCUCAGGACUGCACUGGACAGGGUCAGGAUAUUAGAUUGCUUAAGGAAGGAAUAUGAAAAGAAAAUGAUCUUCUGUGAGCCUCAUGCAUACAUAAGUGAACUAAUAUAACCAUGCUGUCUUCUACCUUCCUUGAAAAGAAUUUUCUCCAGGAGGUAUCCUUUAAAAAGAAUAAACUACAAAUAAAAAUAUUCAAUUUAAUAUUAUGAUAUAGUGCAAAAGCUUCAUUUUGAGAGACAACUUGUGAAUGCUUGUGAAUGUUUAUUUUGCUAUCAAAGAAUUUUUUGUGUUGGGAAAGGAAAUGUCUUCAUAGUUCGCAUUGGUCAGCAUAGCAAUCAGAUAUUAUCUGAAGCACAGAUAUGUGUUCUUAAUUUUAGAAAUAAAUUUCAGAUCCAGAUUCUGAUACUAUCAGAGCGCUGUCAAACUGGUUGGAUGCACAUUUUCAUUCAAAUCAGAACACCCAUCCAAAGGCAAAACUCACUGUGUAUGACUGCAGCUGAAUCUACUACAGCAAAAUGACAACAGGGUGUGUGUGUGUGUGUGUGUGUGUGUGUGUGUAGUUGAAGUAAGUCUAGUUUUCAUAUGGCAUCAAUCCAGCACUUUUAUUGGGGUGGGAUCAAAUUGUCUAAUAUGUGUUUUUGAAGAUAAUGUGGCAGCUUUAUAUCCAAACAUCUUCAUAUUGUCUUGCAUUUAAAAAAACCAAACCUUAAUAUAUUAACAGCUAUGGCUAAAUUACCGCAUCCCAGUGUUUCUUCUACUAAGAUAGAUUAAUGUAUGUGCUCCUAAUUACGGGUUGUAAUAGGGAAAACAUGCUUCUCUAUUGUCUGUUGUCUCAAUUUUAGAUAUAUUUAGAAAUUAACUACAUGGUGUUCCAGGGCUGCAUGUGCUGGGAAGACUGUUUAGGAGCCUAUUGGGACAUGUACAAGGUCUUGUAGAAAGUGAUUAACCUGCUAUGGCUGUACUCGCAUUGCUCCUAUAAAUAUUUGUAUGAGGUAUUAGUAGUAGAAUUCUCUGA
Podarcis muralis (Common wall lizard) is the source of this 1176-nucleotide long non-coding RNA. RefSeq lists it as uncharacterized. NCBI's taxonomy places the organism in Eukaryota, Metazoa, Chordata, Lepidosauria, Squamata, Lacertidae. The record is from RefSeq and is a predicted model, not a curated record.